UAUCGACGGCGAGGCCGUACUUCCUCAACAAGUUUCCGUAACCGCCGCCGCUGAUGUGUCCACCAACACCGACAGUGGGGCAAAUCCCAGCGGCAUACCCGAGCGUUUUACUCUUCUCGGAGAUUCGGUAGUACAACUCUCCGAGAGUCGCGCCGGCCUGGGCCCACGCGGUGGCGUCCUCGGCGUUGACGUCGAUUGACCGGAGGUUGAACAGGUCGAGGACUACGAAAGUCUUUUCGGACGAGACAUAUGAGAUGCCCUCGUAGUCGUGUCCGCCGCUUCGGAUUUUUAGUUGGAGUUUGAGUUGUACGGCGCAGAGGACGGAGGCCUGGACGUGGGACUCGGUCGUCGGCGUGAGGAUGAGGACUGGUUUGGGAGUCGUGGAGGUGUUGAAGCGAGCGUUGCGG
This 407-nucleotide long non-coding RNA is filed under the name Rosa chinensis. RNAcentral's name for it is "sRNA RchiOBHm_Chr5g0017711". Lineage: Eukaryota; Viridiplantae; Streptophyta; Magnoliopsida; Rosales; Rosaceae. The record is from RNAcentral.